RNAcentral lists this ribosomal RNA (407 nucleotides) under uncultured Mycobacterium sp. RNAcentral's name for it is "bacterial SSU rRNA". It matches the Rfam family "Bacterial small subunit ribosomal RNA", at positions 355 to 774 of the family's 1533-position model. Lineage: Bacteria; Bacillati; Actinomycetota; Actinomycetes; Mycobacteriales; Mycobacteriaceae. The record is from RNAcentral.
UGGGGAAUAUUGCACAAUGGGCGCAAGCCUGAUGCAGCGACGCCGCGUGAGGGAUGACGGCCUUCGGGUUGUAAACCUCUUUCGCCAGGGACGAAGCGCAAGUGACGGUACCUGGAGAAGAAGGACCGGCCAACUACGUGCCAGCAGCCGCGGUAAUACGUAGGGUCCGAGCGUUGUCCGGAAUUACUGGGCGUAAAGAGCUCGUAGGUGGUUUGUCGCGUUGUUCGUGAAAACUCACAGCUCAACUGUGGGCGUGCGGGCGAUACGGGCAGACUUGAGUACUGCAGGGGAGACUGGAAUUCCUGGUGUAGCGGUGGAAUGCGCAGAUAUCAGGAGGAACACCGGUGGCGAAGGCGGGUCUCUGGGCAGUAACUGACGCUGAGGAGCGAAAGCGUGGGGAGCGAACA